UUUUUUUUAAAUCUGGGAACAUAUCUAGGAUGAAGACCUCCAGAAGACUACAGCAGCUCCCUCUCCAGUGAAGACAGCAACCCAGCAGAAGAACGAAGAACAACAGACUCAGGAAGAAGACCUCCAGAAGACUACAGCAGCUCACUCUCCAGUGAAGACAGCAACCCAGCAGAAGAAUGAAGAACAACAGACUCAGGAAGAAGACCUCCAGAAGAUUUUUUUU
This is a long non-coding RNA of Neoarius graeffei (lesser salmon catfish), 223 nucleotides long. RefSeq lists it as uncharacterized. NCBI's taxonomy places the organism in Eukaryota, Metazoa, Chordata, Actinopteri, Siluriformes, Ariidae. The record is from RefSeq and is a predicted model, not a curated record. The transcript is spliced from 3 exons.